This 264-nucleotide ribosomal RNA is filed under the name uncultured bacterium. Its description in RNAcentral is "partial 16S ribosomal RNA". It matches the Rfam family "Bacterial small subunit ribosomal RNA", at positions 524 to 786 of the family's 1533-position model. The record is from RNAcentral.
UACGAAGGGGGCUAGCGUUGUUCGGAAUUACUGGGCGUAAAGGGCGCGUAGGCGGUACUUCAAGUCAGGCGUGAAAGCCCCGGGCUCAACCUGGGAACCGCGCUUGAGACUGGAGAACUAGAGUUCGGGAGAGGAUGGUGGAAUUCCCAGUGUAGAGGUGAAAUUCGUAGAUAUUGGGAAGAACACCGAUGGCGAAGGCAGCCAGUCUGGACCGACACUGACGCUGAGGCGCGAAAGCGUGGGGAGCAAACAGGAUUAGAUACC